CUUACCCUACUGGAGGCAGCAGUAGGGAAUCUUCCACAAUGGACGAAAGUCUGAUGGAGCAACGCCGCGUGAGUGAAGAAGGGUUUCGGCUCGUAAAGCUCUGUUGGUAGUGAAGAAAGAUAGAGGUAGUAACUGGCCUUUAUUUGACGGUAAUUACUUAGAAAGUCACGGCUAACUACGUGCCAGCAGCCGCGGGAAUACGGAGGUGGCAAGCGUUGUCCGGAUUUUUUGGGCGUUAAGCGAGUGCAGGCGGGUUCAUA
RNAcentral lists this ribosomal RNA (260 nucleotides) under uncultured bacterium. RNAcentral describes it as "partial 16S ribosomal RNA". It matches the Rfam family "Bacterial small subunit ribosomal RNA", at positions 332 to 585 of the family's 1533-position model. The record is from RNAcentral.